GGCAAAAGCUCAAAUUUGAAAUCUGGUACCUUCGGUGCCCGAGUUGUAAUUUGGAGAGGGCAACUUUGGGGCCGUUCCUUGUCUAUGUUCCUUGGAACAGGACGUCAUAGAGGGUGAGAAUCCCGUGUGGCGAGGAGUGCGGUUCUUUGUAAAGUGCCUUCGAAGAGUCGAGUUGUUUGGGAAUGCAGCUCUAAGUGGGUGGUAAAUUCCAUCUAAAGCUAAAUAUUGGCGAGAGACCGAUAGCGAACAAGUACAGUGAUGGAAAGAUGAAAAGAACUUUGAAAAGAGAGUGAAAAAGUACGUGAAAUUGUUGAAAGGGAAGGGCAUUUGAUCAGACAUGGUGUUUUGUGCCCUCUGCUCCUUGUGGGUAGGGGAAUCUCGCAUUUCACUGGGCCAGCAUCAGUUUUGGUGGCAGGAUAAAUCCAUAGGAAUGUAGCUUGCCUCGGUAAGUAUUAUAGCCUGUGGGAAUACUGCCAGCUGGGACUGAGGACUGCGACGUAAGUCAAGGAUGCUGGCAUAAUGGUUAUAUGCCGCCCGUCUUGAAACACGGA
Molecule: ribosomal RNA, 551 nt
Filed under: Saccharomyces cerevisiae (brewer's yeast)
Lineage: Eukaryota; Fungi; Ascomycota; Saccharomycetes; Saccharomycetales; Saccharomycetaceae
Description: eukaryotic LSU rRNA
Rfam family: Eukaryotic large subunit ribosomal RNA
Source: RNAcentral